UACGUAGGGGGCAAGCGUUGUCCGGAAUCAUUGGGCGUAAAGAGCGCGUAGGCGGCCCUGUAAGUCCGCUGUGAAAGUCGGGGGCUCAACCCUCGAAUGCCGGUGGAUACUGUCGGGCUAGAGUGCGGAAGAGGCGAGUGGAAUUCCUGGUGUAGCGGUGAAAUGCGCAGAUAUCAGGAGGAACACCGAUUGCGAAGGCAGCUCGCUGGGACGGUACUGACGCUAAGGCGCGAAAGCGUGGGGAGCGAACAGG
This 253-nucleotide ribosomal RNA is filed under the name uncultured bacterium. Its description in RNAcentral is "partial 16S ribosomal RNA". It matches the Rfam family "Bacterial small subunit ribosomal RNA", at positions 524 to 776 of the family's 1533-position model. The record is from RNAcentral.